AGAGUUUGAUCCUGGCUCAGGAUGAACGCUAGCGGUGUGCCUAAUGCAUGCAAGUCGAACGGGAUCCUAUAGAUUCGUCUUUAGGUGAGAGUGGCGGACGGGUGAGUAACGCGUUGGUGACCUGCCCCAGAGAGGGAGACAACCAUUGGAAACGAUGGCUAAUACCCCGGAUGUCAUUGUGUUUAGAAAACAAUGACUAAACGCUCUGGCGCUCUGGGAGGGGCCUGCGUCCCAUCAGCUAGUUGGUAAGGUAAUGGCUUACCAAGGCAAAGACGGGUAGGGGGCGUGAGAGCGUGACCCCCCACACUGGUACUGAAACACGGACCAGAUACCUACGGGUAGCAGCAGCAAGGAAUAUUGUCCAAUGGACGAAAGUCUGAGACAGCAACACCGCGUGGAGGACGAAGGUCUUCGGAUUGUAAACUCCUUUUCUGGGGGAAGAGAACGGACGGUACCCCAGGAAUAAGGCCCGGCUAACUACGUGCCAGCAGCCGCGGUAAAACGUAGGGGUCGAGCGUUAUCCGGAUUUACUGGGCGUAAAGAGCAUGUAGGCGGUUGCUUAAGUCGGACGUGAAAGCUCCUGGCUCAACUAGGAGAGGUCGUUCGAAACUAAGUAACUCGAGGAUGGUAGAGGAUAGUGGAAUUCCAGGUGUAGUGGUGAAAUGCGUAGAUAUCUGGAGGAACACCAGUGGCGAAGGCGGCUAUCUGGGCCAUUCCUGACGCUGAGAUGCGAAAGCUAGGGGAGAGAACGGGAUUAGAAACCCCGGUAUUCCUAGCCGUAAACGAUGUCAACUAGGUGUAGGAGGUAUUGACCCCUUCUGUGCUGCAGCAAACGCGUUAAGUUGACCGCCUGGGGACUACGGCCGCAAGGCUAAAACUCAAAGGAAUUGACGGGGACCCGCACAAGCAGCGGAGCGUGUGGUUUAAUUCGAGACUACGCGAAGAACCUUACCAGGGUUUGACAUGACGGUAGUAGGGAUCCGAAAGGUGACCGACCCUUCGGGGAGCCGCCACAGGUGCUGCAUGGCUGUCGUCAGCUCGUGCCGUGAGGUGUUAGGUUAAGUCCUGUAACGAGCGCAACCCACGUCGUUAGUUAUACGUGUCUAACGAGACUGCCGGUGAUAAGCCGGAGGAAGGUGUGGAUGACGUCAAGUCAGCAUGGCCUUUAUAUCCUGGGCUACACACACGCUACAAUGGCCGGUACAAUGGGCAGCGAAACCG
This 1221-nucleotide ribosomal RNA is filed under the name metagenome. RNAcentral describes it as "bacterial SSU rRNA". It matches the Rfam family "Bacterial small subunit ribosomal RNA", at positions 8 to 1257 of the family's 1533-position model. The record is from RNAcentral.